UUGCUGAUUACAAGCCUGGUGUGACUUGAAGGGGGAAAGAGAGAGAGAGAGAGAGAGGAAGGAAAACAGAGGGAGAGACGGGCUCCUCGGGAGAAAAAGCCAUUCAAUUUACGGAAUAAAUCCUUCGAGUAAACUCGAUUUGUGUGCCAGCAACCCGGCAGCUCUUCCCGGCCCCGCACCGCGCUGACCUACGCGUAGGGCAGCGGGUGCGGGGCCGGGAAGGGCCACCGGGCUCCUCUUCCCCUUCCCUCCUCGUCCUCUUCGAAGAAGCGCCCUCCGUCCCUGCGCCUGCCGGGCUGGCCCGGUCGCCGGUACCGGGGGCCUGGGGAGGCGGCCCCUGGCCUUAGCGAGAGUAUCGGUUCGCCAUUUACGUGGUUGAUCUCAGCUAGGCUGUGUUGAGAACCUCGUGGAAAGUUCCUGUCCUCAAUGGAUGACAAACUAGGUGGAAGCAUAUGAGUGUGAAGAGCUUUUUUCCUGAGCAGCUUCAUUCAGGUAUUUCCGUUUUCUGCACAAACGACCCAAUACUCUGGAGGCAAAAGCUAUCACUGUGGGGAUGGGGACCUCUCCUGUAGAUUACUUCUGCAUGUGUGACGUGCAUCUCUCCAAAGCGCCUCUUCCACCCCCGUCCCAACCCGAGGUGCGUGGGUCCGUGGCCGUCGGGCCUUCGCUGCGGGGACGGUCCGGCUGGGGCCUGCGGGGACAGACCCUCACCCCUCUCCCCCCUCACCCCCCCUCCUCCCGGGAAGCCUCAGGGCCACCAUCCCGGCGGCCGGACCCCCACCCCCGGGGCCGCAGGUGA
This 799-nucleotide long non-coding RNA is filed under the name Calidris pugnax (ruff). RNAcentral's name for it is "lncRNA (ENSCPUG00000010101.1)". The record is from RNAcentral. Lineage: Eukaryota; Metazoa; Chordata; Aves; Charadriiformes; Scolopacidae.